RNAcentral lists this ribosomal RNA (537 nucleotides) under uncultured bacterium. RNAcentral's name for it is "bacterial SSU rRNA". It matches the Rfam family "Bacterial small subunit ribosomal RNA", at positions 355 to 895 of the family's 1533-position model. The record is from RNAcentral.
UGAGGAAUAUUGGUCAAUGGACGGAAGUCUGAACCAGCCAAGUAGCGUGCAGGAUGACGGCCCUAUGGGUUGUAAACUGCUUUUGUAUGGGGAUAAAGUUAGGGACGUGUCCCUAUUUGCAGGUACCAUACGAAUAAGGACCGGCUAAUUCCGUGCCAGCAGCCGCGGUAAUACGGAAGGUUCAGGCGUUAUCCGGAUUUAUUGAGUUUAAAGGGAGCGUAGGCUGGAGAUUAAGUGUGUUGUGAAAUGUAGACGCUCAACGUCUGAAUUGCAGCGCAUACUGGUUUCCUUGAGUACGCACAACGUUGGCGGAAUUCGUCGUGUAGCGGUGAAAUGCUUAGAUAUGACGAAGAACUCCGAUUGCGAAGGCAGCUGACGGGAGCGCAACUGACGCUUAAGCUCGAAGGUGCGGGUAUCAAACAGGAUUAGAUACCCUGGUAGUCCGCACAGUAAACGAUGGAUGCCCGCUGUUGGUACCUGGUAUCAGCGGCUAAGCGAAAGCAUUAAGCAUNNACCUGGGGAGUACGCCGGCNCGGU